UGGAGAGUUUGAUCCUGGCUCAGGACGUGGCGGCAGGCCUAACACAUGCAAGUCGAGCGGCAGCACAAGGGAGUUUACUCCUGAGGUGGCGAGCGGCGGACGGGUGAGUAAUGCCUAGGGAUCUGCCCAGUCGAGGGGGAUAACAGUUGGAAACGACUGCUAAUACCGCAUACGCCCUACGGGGGAAAGAGGGGGACCUUCGGGCCUCUCGCGAUUGGAUGAACCUAGGUGGGAUUAGCUAGUUGGUGAGGUAAUGGCUCACCAAGGCGACGAUCCCUAGCUGUUCUGAGAGGAUGAUCAGCCACACUGGGACUGAGACACGGCCCAGACUCCUACGGGAGGCAGCAGUGGGGAAUAUUGCACAAUGGGGGAAACCCUGAUGCAGCCAUGCCGCGUGUGUGAAGAAGGCCUUCGGGUUGUAAAGCACUUUCAGUAGGGAGGAAAGGGUGAGUCUUAAUACGGCUCAUCUGUGACGUUACCUACAGAAG
RNAcentral lists this ribosomal RNA (488 nucleotides) under Shewanella sp. '4.3 MW-16'. RNAcentral's name for it is "bacterial SSU rRNA". It matches the Rfam family "Bacterial small subunit ribosomal RNA", at positions 1 to 487 of the family's 1533-position model. The record is from RNAcentral. Lineage: Bacteria; Pseudomonadati; Pseudomonadota; Gammaproteobacteria; Alteromonadales; Shewanellaceae.